RNAcentral lists this non-coding RNA (24 nucleotides) under Arabidopsis thaliana (thale cress). The record is from RNAcentral. Lineage: Eukaryota; Viridiplantae; Streptophyta; Magnoliopsida; Brassicales; Brassicaceae.
AGAUAGAUCAUCCUACUGAACCAC